RNAcentral lists this unclassified non-coding RNA (1621 nucleotides) under Pectinophora gossypiella (pink bollworm). RNAcentral's name for it is "uncharacterized LOC126378554". Lineage: Eukaryota; Metazoa; Arthropoda; Insecta; Lepidoptera; Gelechiidae. The record is from RNAcentral.
UUAUUUAAAAAAUACAUAAACUUAAUUUUUGGAAAUAAAUAUAUAUUAAUAUACUGGCAACCCUAUCCCUUGAUGUCUGUCACUGUCAUUUCAAAAUGGCGGCGCCUACGCAAUUACGCAUCGGUGUUGAUUUUAUUUCGUGAAUAUUCCUUACCGUAUCGUCGAGUUGAGCUGCUGUUCCUCCGAUAACGUGCAGAAUAUCAUUAUUUUUUAGUGAUUUUCGAGACAGCGACUCUUUUUCGUGGUGUUUUGUGAGACAGUGACUCUUUAUGUGCUACGAUGUCGGAUAAGGAGAACAAACGGAAAUGUUUUAAAUGCGGCUCUUCACCCGCUGAAGACGGCAUUAAAUUGUUCCGAGCUCUUAAGCCUGGCACCAAUGACCUAGUUCGUUGUGAGCAAUGGGCACAGUACAUGUACCCUGGAAGAAAUGUUAGCUCUGUAGAAUUUCUGAAAAAACUCUACAAUGAGCACAGGAUGCUUUGUUCAAAAAGAGGAUUUUACGGAUCUGACUCGAAAAUAUUUAUUAAGGACUGCAGUCCCCAGAGACAUUGAGCAACAUGUGCCUAUCUUCGUGGCAAGUCAGCCAGGUACUUCCGGAGUACAUAGCCAGGUACUAACAAACAUCACAAACCAGCCUGCUCAUGGAACAAUCGAGCAACAGGAGCUGGGUCAACCGGGACCAUCAAGAAGCACAAAUGAGGCUUGCAUUGAAGCAGGGUCCAGAAAACCUAAGAUGAUGAGACGACCAAUGAGUAUGUGUACGAACGACGAAAAUUGAAAUUGAAUUUUAUGUGUAAACAUUAAAGACGUGGCAUGCGGUAAUAUCGCACGUUGUUUCUCCGGUGUAAAUCAAGCAUAAUACUGUUUGUUCUGGAAUGAUUUGAUUAAGGAGGCUUUUUCUUUGUGUUGGUCGUAGUGGUCCUAACAGCCAGUACGACCUGGGGCUUAUUUCUAGAAACUUACAACUCACAAGUUACAAAUGUGUAACCAUACUAACCCUUAAAUUUCACAAUUACUACGCGUGACCAUGGUUACACACCUAUAAUUACAAGACUUGGAGGUUUCGUGAAACAAACCACUGGAUUUAUUAUCUAUCUUGACAUUUAGUUAGCAAUCUUCUGUCCACUACGAAACAUAUUGUAUAGAAUAAAAUAAGGAAGUAAAUCUAAAGGAUUGGGACUGCCGCAACUUUUGCGUGAACUAUUUGGUAUUAAUAAAAACUAUAUAAAAAUAAAACAAAUAAUAUUGAUGAAUGUGGAGGAAGCAAGAAAAGUGUGUCUGGAUCGAAGCAAAUGGAAUUCUAUAGUCUCUGCUUACCCCGGUGGGAAAUAGGCGUGAGUUUAUGUAUGUAUGUAUAUAAAAAUAAUUGUUUGGCCCAUGUUUCGUGAGAAAAGUUGUUCAGUUUCAUGAAUGAAAUCCAAUCCUUCAGUGUAGGUACUACACCGCAUUUCUGUUAAUUCAUGCAACAGAAUCUUUUCACAAGAAGAAAAAUGUGAUAUUUGCACCAUUGCUCCUAAUUUACGAAAAUUCUAUUGUUACAAAAUAUAUAGUUUUCAUUUAAUUCAUUAUCAUCGACACUAAAGAAGAAGAAUAAAUAAAUACAUUUAUACUUUUCUCAGUA